RNAcentral lists this unclassified non-coding RNA (204 nucleotides) under uncultured fungus. RNAcentral describes it as "partial contains 5.8S ribosomal RNA, internal transcribed spacer 2, and large subunit ribosomal RNA". The record is from RNAcentral. Lineage: Eukaryota; Fungi.
AAGGAUCAUUAAAGAUUCGACCUUUGGGUCUAUCUUCUCUUCAGCUGUGCGCUUAGGCUGCACGCUGUUGAAUUUCACACACCUGUGCACACUUCGGUUGUGACUAGUUAACUCUAGUCGCUUCCGCUUUUACAUUUAACAACCAAGUCUAGAAUGUCAAAUACAAUAAAAUAACAACUUUUAACAACGGAUCUCUUGGCUCUC